Small nuclear RNA from Nomascus leucogenys (northern white-cheeked gibbon), 127 nucleotides. It matches the Rfam family "U2 spliceosomal RNA". From Rfam's summary of the family: U2 is a small nuclear RNA (snRNA) component of the spliceosome (involved in pre-mRNA splicing). Complementary binding between U2 snRNA (in an area lying towards the 5' end but 3' to hairpin I) and the branchpoint sequence (BPS) of the intron results the bulging out of an unpaired adenosine, on the BPS, which initiates a nucleophilic attack at the intronic 5' splice site, thus starting the first of two transesterification reactions that mediate splicing. The record is from Rfam. Lineage: Eukaryota; Metazoa; Chordata; Mammalia; Primates; Hylobatidae.
AUCACUUCUCAGCCUUUUGGCUAAGAUCAAGCGUAGUAUUUGUUCUUAUCAGAAUAUACAUUUUUCUUAUCCGUGUGUGAAAUAUUCUCCAAAAUAAUCUAUAUGCUUAGUCAUAAUACAAGCCUCA